CCACCAUGAUGCGAACACGUUUGGAUCAACAUCUUAAAUCAUUCCCAAGCUUCGUGAAAGCUUUCUUCUUCUAAAUAUGUAAAUGUAGAGAUCUCCCUCCUAAGUUG
Molecule: non-coding RNA, 107 nt
Organism: Gossypium hirsutum (cotton)
Lineage: Eukaryota; Viridiplantae; Streptophyta; Magnoliopsida; Malvales; Malvaceae
Source: Rfam